CAGUCGCCACGGUAAAACGUAGGGUGCAAGCGUUAAUCGGAAUUACUGGGCGUAAAGCGUGCGCAGGCGGUUAUAUAAGUCAGAUGUGAAAUCCCCGGGCUCAACCUGGGAACUGCAUUUGAGACUGUAUGGCUAGAGUGUGUCAGAGUGGGGUAGAAUUCCACGUGUAGCAGUGAAAUGCGUAGAUAUGUGGAGGAAUACCGAUGGCGAAGGCAGCCCCCUGGGAUAACACUGACGCUCAUGCACGAAAGCGUGGGGAGCAAACAGGAUUAGAUACCCCGGUAGUCCCUGUCUCUUAUAC
Molecule: ribosomal RNA, 301 nt
Filed under: uncultured bacterium
Lineage: Bacteria
Description: partial 16S ribosomal RNA
Rfam family: Bacterial small subunit ribosomal RNA
Source: RNAcentral